UGGGGAAUUUUGGACAAUGGGCGAAAGCCUGAUCCAGCAAUGCCGCGUGUGUGAAGAAGGCCUUCGGGUUGUAAAGCACUUUUGUCCGGAAAGAAAUCCUUGGCUCUAAUACAGUCGGGGGAUGACGGUACCGGAAGAAUAAGCACCGGCUAACUACGUGCCAGCAGCCGCGGUAAUACGUAGGGUGCAAGCGUUAAUCGGAAUUACUGGGCGUAAAGCGUGCGCAGGCGGUUUGCUAAGACCGAUGUGAAAUCCCCGGGCUCAACCUGGGAACUGCAUUGGUGACUGGCAGGCUAGAGUAUGGCAGAGGGGGGUAGAAUUCCACGUGUANCAGUGAAAUGCGUAGAGAUGUGGAGGAAUACCGAUGGCGAAGGCAGCCCCCUGGGCCAAUACUGACGCUCAUGCACGAAAGCGUGGGGAGCAAAACAGGAUUAGAUACCCUGGUAGUCCACGCCCUAAACGAUGUCAACUAGUUGUUGGGGAUUCAUUUCUUAGUAACGUAGCUAACGCGUGAAGUUGACCGCCUGGGGAGUACGGUCGCAAGAUUAAAACUUAAAGGAAUUGACGGGGUCAUAGCUGUUUCCU
RNAcentral lists this ribosomal RNA (585 nucleotides) under uncultured bacterium. RNAcentral's name for it is "partial 16S ribosomal RNA". It matches the Rfam family "Bacterial small subunit ribosomal RNA", at positions 355 to 1375 of the family's 1533-position model. The record is from RNAcentral.